UGGCAGCAUGACCAUAACAACUACCCUCUUUCUGAAGUGAGAACUAGAUAAUAUACAUCUCCCUUUUGAUCUUGACCAAUAUAAAUACCAAGUAAUUAUGGCAGACUAGUGUGCUGUACAUCUGUGGACCCCUCCAAGGCAGGCAGAUGGGCAUCUCAUGGUUUGGACUUGACCUCCGAGACCCAGCUGGGUGCAUCUGGAUGAGACUCAACCACAAAGGGGCCCAGGAUGAGAAAAGGAUCACAGCUUCCAUACCAUCCCAGCAGACGGCCACCUCCCUCCUGCAAGGAGGCCCUGAGACCAUCAUCCUUUCUCUUUUCACAUCUACAAAAUGUAAAGUCAUCUUCCAUUGAAUUGAUUUUUGAAAGGCUCUUUACAACAGUAUGCUGAAAUGCAUUCUGGAAAUGCACAGAUUAGAAUCUUACUUGACAAAAGGACAACACUCAAUGGCACACACAGUGAUUCAUUUGUAUCUCAAAAUCGCUUUUAUUUCCCACUUUUUCGACAGCUUCUAAAUCCACAUAGAAGAUAAUUUAUUUCAUUAUUAAAGCACCCCACUGUUAGAGGCUAAUUUAUAAGCAGAAUAAAUUAUUUCAGGGGCAUAGAACAGAGGCCAAGGAAGCUCCCACUUUAAACAUAUACACACACAUCCAUAUCCCCUUGGGGGGAAAGCCCUAAAUGGAAAUUUGUUUUUUUUUAAUCUCAAAGUUCUGAGCCUUUUGACUGAAAAUUCAUAUUUCUUGGCAAAGAACAAAUACAUGAUAUGGUGCUCAAUCUCACGAGAAGUCUGGGAAAUACAAAUUAAAGCAACAAUGAAGUAUCCAUAUUCAACUACCAGCUUGAUAAAAGUUUACAGACCAAGAACAUGCUGUGCUAGUGCGGAAGUGGAAAACCCCUUCUCAUUCAGUGGUGAUGGGAGUUUGAACUGCUACAAACUUUUCAUAAAAAUGAUCUAGAAAAUUUUA
Herpailurus yagouaroundi (jaguarundi) is the source of this 965-nucleotide long non-coding RNA. RefSeq lists it as uncharacterized. Lineage: Eukaryota; Metazoa; Chordata; Mammalia; Carnivora; Felidae. The record is from RefSeq and is a predicted model, not a curated record. The transcript is spliced from 3 exons.